ACGACUCUCGGCAACGGAUAUCUCGGCUCACGCAUCRAU
Molecule: ribosomal RNA, 39 nt
Filed under: Xanthium ambrosioides
Lineage: Eukaryota; Viridiplantae; Streptophyta; Magnoliopsida; Asterales; Asteraceae
Description: partial 5.8S ribosomal RNA
Source: RNAcentral